Molecule: ribosomal RNA, 255 nt
Filed under: uncultured bacterium
Lineage: Bacteria
Description: partial 16S ribosomal RNA
Rfam family: Bacterial small subunit ribosomal RNA
Source: RNAcentral
UACGUAGGGUGCAAGCGUUAAUCGGAAUUACUGGGCGUAAAGCGUGCGCAGGCGGUUUUGUAAGUUUGUCGUGAAAGCCCCGGGCUCAACCUGGGAAUUGCGAUGAAGACUGCAAGGCUUGAAUCUGGCAGAGGGGGGUAGAAUUCCACGUGUAGCAGUGAAAUGCGUAGAGAUGCGGAGGAACACCGAUGGCGAAGGCAGCCCCCCUGGGCUAACACUGACGCCUCAGGCACGAAAGCGUGGGGAGCGAACAGG